This 864-nucleotide long non-coding RNA is filed under the name Phoenix dactylifera (date palm). Its description in RNAcentral is "long non-coding RNA (PDAC_LNC008319)". Lineage: Eukaryota; Viridiplantae; Streptophyta; Magnoliopsida; Arecales; Arecaceae. The record is from RNAcentral.
UAAUUCACAUAUUUUGUAAAUUUAACUAAAAAAUGUGUUACCCUCAUCAUUGCAUUUUAAUAAAUUAAUUCGAGUUUGAUUUAGUUAUUUAUUAAUUGAGCCUAAUGUAUGCAGGUCGAAUCUAAUAUAUGCAGGUCGAGUCAAACUUAUUUCGGAUGAUCCCUGAACCCGAAUGACACGCACCCCGUUCAUCCCAACUCUAUUGUUUCUUUCGGAUCGAUCUCACAUCCUUAUCCCUUCCGUGUUCAAAGCUCCAGCUUAUCUAUGCUUCAGCCGAUAACCAAACGCAUCCUCCCAGCAUCCUCUUCCUUCGAAACAGAGUACCAGCCAUCAGCCGAAUCCAGCUCCUCCCAACAUCCAAGAUCUUCUUUCGGACUCCCAGCUUCCACCGUGAAAAUCUUCAUCCCGUUCGCGUUCGGAUAUGCUUGAUUCAACCAUCCACAUGAGAAAUCUCACACGGUAUCUCCCCUGUUCUUGCAAUCAACCUUAUCCCAACGUCUCAGCAACCAUCCUUUACCGUCCACAUCAUCCUAAAUCCCAGCAUCCCCUGUUCCCAAUCGGAUGAACAUUCCAAACAACCACUCCCAGAACCAAGUUCAGAUCCCAUCCUCUCCACGAUAGCUUCUUUCCGAGCUUCACGGCAUCCAAAUGCAUCUUCCCCUGUUUCAAAACUAUCAACCUAGUGUUCCGAAUUGAUCUUCUUCAAGAUUCCUCCCACGUCCACGAACAAACUUCCUUGCAUCCUCAUCCCGUGAACAACCAAACUAUCCUCCCUUGUUUCAACUUCAACGUCCUCAACCGAACCCAACAAUCUCCCAGCCAUCUUUCGGAUCCCAUGGAAUCUCCUAGCAUCCCAUAGUCAGC